GAUGAAGAACGCAGCGAAAUGCCAUACGUAAUGUGAAUUGCAGAAUUCAGUGAAUCAUCGAGUCUUUGAACGCACAUUGCGCCCCCUGGUAUUCCGGGGGGCAUGCCUGUCCGAGCGUCAUUGCUGCCCUCAAGCACGGCUUGUGUGUUGGGCCUCCGUCCUCCUCCCGGGGGACGGGCCCGAAAGGCAGCGGCGGCACCGCGUCCGGUCCUCGAGCGUAUGGGGCUUCGUCACCCGCUCUUGUAGGCCCGGCCGGCGCUUGCCGACACAUCAAUCUUUUUUCCAGGUUGACCUCGGAUCAGGUAGGGAUACCCGCUGAACUUAAGCAUAUCAAUAAGCGGAGGA
RNAcentral lists this unclassified non-coding RNA (345 nucleotides) under soil metagenome. RNAcentral describes it as "partial contains 5.8S ribosomal RNA, internal transcribed spacer 2, and large subunit ribosomal RNA". The stretch from base 1 to 120 matches the Rfam family "5.8S ribosomal RNA", at positions 35 to 154 of the family's 154-position model. The record is from RNAcentral.